This 426-nucleotide ribosomal RNA is filed under the name uncultured Pseudomonadaceae bacterium. RNAcentral's name for it is "bacterial SSU rRNA". It matches the Rfam family "Bacterial small subunit ribosomal RNA", at positions 356 to 774 of the family's 1533-position model. Lineage: Bacteria; Pseudomonadati; Pseudomonadota; Gammaproteobacteria; Pseudomonadales; Pseudomonadaceae. The record is from RNAcentral.
GGGGAAUAUUGGACAAUGGGCGAAAGCCUGAUCCAGCCAUGCCGCGUGUGUGAAGAAGGUCUUCGGAUUGUAAAGCACUUUAAGUUGGGAGGAAGGGUUUCUGGCUAAUAUCCAGGAAUUUUGACGUUACCGACAGAAUAAGCACCGGCUAACUUCGUGCCAGCAGCCGCGGUAAUACGAAGGGUGCAAGCGUUAAUCGGAAUUACUGGGCGUAAAGCGCGCGUAGGUGGUUCGUUAAGUUGGAUGUGAAAGCCCCGGGCUCAACCUGGGAACUGCAUCCAAAACUGGCGAGCUAGAGUAUGGCAGAGGGUGGUGGAAUUUCCUGUGUAGCGGUGAAAUGCGUAGAUAUUCGGAAGAACACCAGUGGCGAAGGCGGCCAACUGGCUCGAUACUGACGCUGAGGUGCGAAAGCGUGGGGAGCAAACA